Molecule: ribosomal RNA, 506 nt
Filed under: uncultured bacterium
Lineage: Bacteria
Description: partial 16S ribosomal RNA
Rfam family: Bacterial small subunit ribosomal RNA
Source: RNAcentral
GACGAACGCUGGCGGCGUGCUUAACACAUGCGAGUCGAACGGUGAAGGGACUGGUUUUGCUGGUCCUGGAUGAGUGGCGAACGGGUGAGUAACACGUGAGUAACCUGCCCCCUUCUUCUGGAUAACCGCAUGAAAGUGUGGCUAAUACGGGAUAUUCUGGGUCUGUCGCAUGGUGGGCCUGGGAAAGAUUGCGCCUUUUUUGGUGUUUUUGGUGGGGGAUGGGCUCGCGGCCUUUCAGCUUGUUGGUGGGGUGAUGGCCUACCAAGGCGGUGACGGGUAGCCGGCCUGAGAGGGUGGAGGGUCACACUGGGAGUGAGACACGGCCCAGACUCCUACGGGAGGCAGCAGUGGGGAAUAUUGCACAAUGGGCGCAAGCCUGAUGCAGCGACGCCGCGUGAGGGAUGGAGGCCUUCGGGUUGUGAACCUCUUUCGCCAGUGAAGCAGGCCUGCCUCUUUUUGUGGGUGGGUUGACGGUAGCUGGAUAAGAAGCGCCGGCUAACUACGUG